RNAcentral lists this ribosomal RNA (324 nucleotides) under uncultured Chloroflexota bacterium. RNAcentral describes it as "bacterial SSU rRNA". It matches the Rfam family "Bacterial small subunit ribosomal RNA", at positions 28 to 351 of the family's 1533-position model. The record is from RNAcentral. Lineage: Bacteria; Bacillati; Chloroflexota.
GAUAAACGCUGGCGGCGUGCAUGAGACAUGCAAGUCGAACGAACAACCCCGGGCUUGCCUGGGGGCGUUAGUGGCGAACGGCUGAGUAACGCGUGGGUGACCUGCCCGAAAGUGGGGAAUAACUGCCCGAAAGGGUGGCUAAUACCGCAUGUGGCCAUACGUUCAUUCGUAUGACCAAAGCCGCAAGGCGCUUUCGGAGGGGCCUGCGUUCGAUUAGCUCGUUGGUGGGGUAACGGCUCACCAAGGCGACGAUCGAUAGGUGGUCUGAGAGGAUGAUCACCCAGACUGGGACUGAGACACGGCCCAGACUCCUACGGGAGGCUG